This 248-nucleotide unclassified non-coding RNA is filed under the name uncultured fungus. RNAcentral's name for it is "partial contains 5.8S ribosomal RNA, internal transcribed spacer 2, and large subunit ribosomal RNA". The stretch from base 1 to 52 matches the Rfam family "5.8S ribosomal RNA", at positions 103 to 154 of the family's 154-position model. The record is from RNAcentral. Lineage: Eukaryota; Fungi.
AACGCACAUUGCGCCCGCCAGUAUUCUGGCGGGCAUGCCUGUUCGAGCGUCAUUUCAACCAUCAAGCCCCAGGCUUGUGUUGGGGACCUGCGGCUGCCGCAGGCCCUGAAAACCAGUGGCGGGCUCGCAAGUCACACCGAGCGUAGUAACAUACAUCUCGCUUAGGGCGUGCUGCGGGUUCCGGCCGUUAAAAGCCUUUUUUACCCAAGGUUGACCUCGGAUCAGGUAGGAAGACCCGCUGAACUUAA